RNAcentral lists this small nuclear RNA (108 nucleotides) under Mus pahari (shrew mouse). RNAcentral describes it as "snRNA (MGP_PahariEiJ_G0033843.1)". Lineage: Eukaryota; Metazoa; Chordata; Mammalia; Rodentia; Muridae. The record is from RNAcentral.
GUGUUUGCCUCAGCAGCACAUAUACUAAAAAUGAAAUCUUUCAGGGAAGGUUAGCACUGCUUGGAUAGAAGGGUGACAUGCAAAUUUUUUGUAGUACCCCAUAUUAAU